GGGGAGGACUACACAUGCAGUCGAGCGAGAACUUCGGUUCUAGCGGCGGACGGGUUAGUAACGCGUGGGAACGUGCCCUUCACUACGGAAUAGUCCCGGGAAACUGGGUUUAAUACCGUAUACGCCCUUCGGGGGAAAGAAUUUCGGUGAAGGAUCGGCCCGCGUUAGAUUAGAUAGUUGGUGGGGUAACGGCCUACCAAGUCUACGAUCUAUAGCUGGUUUUAGAGGAUGAUCAGCAACACUGGGACUGAGACACGGCCCAGACUCCUACGGGAGGCAGCAGUGGGGAAUCUUAGACAAUGGGCGCAAGCCUGAUCUAGCCAUGCCGCGUGAGUGAUGAAGGCCUUAGGGUCGUAAAGCUCUUUCGCCAGGGAUGAUAAUGACAGUACCUGGUAAAGAAACCCCGGCUAACUCCGUGCCAGCAGCCGCGGUAAUACGGAGGGGGUUAGCGUUGUUCGGAAUUACUGGGCGUAAAGCGCGCGUAGGCGGAUUGGAAAGUUGGGGGUGAAAUCCCAGGGCUCAACCCUGGAACUGCCUCCAAAACUAUCAGUCUAGAGUUCGAGAGAGGUGAGUGGAACUCCGAGUGUAGAGGUGAAAUUCGUAGAUAUUCGGAAGAACACCAGUGGCGAAGGCGGCUCACUGGCUCGAUACUGACGCUGAGGUGCGAAAGUGUGGGGAGCAAACAGGAUUAGAUACCCUGGUAGUCCACA
This 710-nucleotide ribosomal RNA is filed under the name Roseovarius sp. Its description in RNAcentral is "bacterial SSU rRNA". It matches the Rfam family "Bacterial small subunit ribosomal RNA", at positions 41 to 799 of the family's 1533-position model. Lineage: Bacteria; Pseudomonadati; Pseudomonadota; Alphaproteobacteria; Rhodobacterales; Roseobacteraceae. The record is from RNAcentral.